Molecule: long non-coding RNA, 2641 nt
Organism: Oncorhynchus kisutch (coho salmon)
Lineage: Eukaryota; Metazoa; Chordata; Actinopteri; Salmoniformes; Salmonidae
Exons: 3
Source: RefSeq, a predicted model, not a curated record
UGGCGCAUGUGACUAAUAGCAUUUGAUUUGAUUUGAACUAGACAAAAACAUCAAGAGGACCAUGACACAACGUUCUAAGAACGUCCUAAAAACAUUCUUGGGAACGUCCCUGGAACAAACCUGGAACAGCAAAAAACUUGCAGUGGACCAUGACUGUUUAAAUUGAAUUAAUGUAAAUUAUGCAUUUUAAAGUAAACAGUCAAAUCCUGUUGCUACAGGAUAAUUUUUCUAUGACAAUACUGGUCAAAUUAAGAUCCUACAUUACAUCUGUAGUUUCUUGUUUAGAGGUGCCCUAUCAUUUUGUACAGAUUUUCCUGUGUGUGUAUGGUCUCUGUAGUUUUUACAUGGUAGCCAUUCUUGCAGUGAUCCAGGCAGGCCAAGCUUUGUGCCAGUCUUCUGCAGCCCAUCGAGAUCCUGGUCAUGACCAUAUCUCUGAUUGGUGAUGAGCAGAGCAAAAUUCUUCUCCAAGAGAGUUCUGACCAAGAGUUUCACCGCUGCUUCCAGUUUCAGGCCCCUCAGGUGGAGAGUGACCAAGUGCAAAACUUUAAGGUGGAGGUUCGAUGUGAAAAGUUUCUAUCGACAGAGAGAAAGGUCAUGAUCAAACCCUACAGUCCGAUGACAUUCAUCCAAACGGAUAAACCAAUCAACAACCCAGGACAAACAGUGCAGUUUAGAGUGAUCACUUUGGAUUCCAGUUUUAGCCCUGUCAAUCAGCUGGUGGGUGUUGAAAAUUUGAAAUAUUGAAAACAUUGAUUUAUUUGGUCUUCCUUUAGAACCUUAUCUCCACUAUUUCGGACAAAAAGAGAGACACAAGGAUCACAACAUCAUAAUACUGUGCGAUAGACAUGGCAAUCAGCUAUUAUGUAAAACUAUGUACAGUGUUGUUCAACCAAAUGGUUAAAGUGUCCACCCGGAGAAUGGAAGCGUGGGGCUUCUUAUACAUCCCAUUUGUACUACAUGAACAAUAAGGCUUCGGGAAUGGGAAAUGUUUUGAACAACUAUUGGACAAAAUCCAAAUCUUUAGCUCAUGUUAUCUGUUUGAUAAGGCUACACAAACAGUUGAGACAUAGCACUCAAUGCAAACAUACUGUGCAUGUCACUAAAUAAUACAACACGAUAAGACGAGGACCAGCUAGGUAGGUCAUCAUUCAUUUCCACAUGGCAGUUACCAGAAGCCUCCAUAUCAGCUUUAUGUGAACACAUCUGGGCCACCUUCAGUAAGCAAACUUCAGAACAUUGCAGAUAGAAAUGUCAUGAAUAGAACUGACGUGACUCCUUAUUCUACAUGUGAGACAGGCAUGUUUGGCCUACAUAACAUGUUUGUAUCUGAACAGUCCACAAGGUUGUGCCCUGCUCAAUGUGUCUCUUGUUCUAUGAAUAAACAGAAUGUUCAUCAGAAGAGGAUUGGACAGUGGGUCAGUACUUAAUCCAGUGGCAUCAUUUUGCAGCUUUCGAGUAAAGAUGACCACACCCAUGGAAAACAUCACCGAACUUGUCAGUUCCCGUCCUCCUUGGUCAUGACUGCCCACUCUUCCAUGGGUUGUGGACCAAUACGGAGAAGCAUGAGAGGGGCCGACAAGAGAAGAGGAGCUCACAGCACCGCAUGGGCCUGGCACAUAAGCUGGUUUCCCGCCAUAAACUCUGGGGGGAAAAAGUAAACCACAUGGGGCGACUAGACGGUCUACUAGGGGAACAGGAAGCAGGAUGAGGAGUCCACAUGAUUGCUGUGGCGAGUCUUAAAAGAGACGUCCAGUGAUGAGACGUGCCACGGAAUCGAGAGCUAAGGGGAAGAGGGAUCCAGCCAGGCAGACGAGGAUAAGAGGAAAAAGAACUGCUUUGACAGAUCUUCCCAGAGUCCACACCAGAGGAGUCCUGGCCGGGGUUUGGCAUGGAGACCAACGACCCCCACCCUGUCCGACAGCUACAGCAGUUUCCCUUACCGAAGACCUUAUGAGUCAGUUUGGCACAGCCCAACAGCGAGAUCCGGAGGUGCAAAGGCUUAUGGACAAAGUGGCAGUUAUUGAUGGGAAGAGGCUACAGGAUGAGGGUGAGUUACAUUUCCCAUAUUUUGCCAUACAUAACAGCCUAUUAUAUUGGGUGUGUAGGAGAAGGGAGGGGGAGUUUGAACUAUUGGUAGUACAGAGGUCAUAUCAAGACACUGUGCUGCACUUGGCCCUCUCCCAUGUCUUGGGGGACAUUUAGGAUGGGAGAAAACGGCUGAGCGGGUAUUCACCCUGUUCUACUGGCCGGGGGUGACCAGAGACUUAGCCAAAUAUUGCAGGUCAUGCGACAGGUGUCAAUGUACGGCCCCCAGGGCCCAUUUUCGCAAUCCCCUGGUAUCUCUUCCCAUUAUAGAAACCCCAUUCAAAACUAUUGCCAUGGACCUAGUGGGGCCACUGCCACGGUCAGCCAGAGGACACAAUACAUCCUUGUAGUAGUGGAUUACGCGACCAAAUAUCCAGAGGCUAUUCCAUUACGCACCAUGGUGACAAAAGGCAGAGCCAAGGAGCUGGUUAUGUUUUUGCGAGUAGGAUUACCCUCAACUAUUUUAACAGAUCAAGGCACUCCCUUCAUGUCCCGGCUCAUGAAAGACCUACAGUUGAAGUCGGAAGUUUAUAUACACUGAGCCAAAUACAUUUAA